CGACGCUGGCGGCGUGCCUAAUACAUGCAAGUCGAACGAACGGAUAAAGAGCUUGCUCUUUUGAAGUUAGUGGCGGACGGGUGAGUAACACGUGGGUAACCUGCCUCACAAGCUGGGGAUAAACAUCGAGAAAUCGAUGCUAAUACCGAAUGUGCUGAACAUCAUAAGAUGUUCAAGUGAAAGACGGUUUCGGCUGUCACUGUGAGAUGGACCCGCGCUGGAUUAGCUAGUUGGUAAGGUAAUGGCUUACCAAGGCGACGAUCCAUAGCCGACCUGAGAGGGUGAUCGGCCACAUUGGGACUGAGACACGGCCCCAAACUCCUACGGGAGGCAGCAGUAGGGAAUCUUCGGCAAUGGACGAAAGUCUGACCGAGCAACGCCGCGUGAGCGAAGAAGGCCUUCGGGUCGUAAAGCUCUGUUGUUAGAGAAGAACAUGGGUGAGAGUAACUGUUCACCCCUUGACGGUAUCUAACCAGAAAGCCACGGCUAACUACGUGCCAGCAGCCGCGGUAA
Molecule: ribosomal RNA, 513 nt
Filed under: uncultured bacterium
Lineage: Bacteria
Description: bacterial SSU rRNA
Rfam family: Bacterial small subunit ribosomal RNA
Source: RNAcentral